RNAcentral lists this ribosomal RNA (392 nucleotides) under uncultured bacterium. RNAcentral describes it as "bacterial SSU rRNA". It matches the Rfam family "Bacterial small subunit ribosomal RNA", at positions 28 to 420 of the family's 1533-position model. The record is from RNAcentral.
AUUGAACGCUGGCGGCAUGCCUUACACAUGCAAGUCGAACGGCAGCACGGGGGCAACCCUGGUGGCGAGUGGCGAACGGGUGAGUAAUACAUCGGAACGUGUCCAGUUGUGGGGGAUAACCAGUCGAAAGAUUGGCUAAUACCGCAUGCGCCCGAAAGGGGAAAGCGGGGGACCUGUGAGGGCCUCGCGCGGUUGGAGCGGCCGAUGUCCGAUUAGCUAGUUGGUGAGGUAACGGCNCACCAAGGCGACGAUCGGUAGCUGGUCUGAGAGGACGACCAGCCACACUGGGACUGAGACACGGGCCCAGACUCCUACGGGAGGCAGCAGUGGGGAAUUUUGGACAAUGGGGCAACCCUGAUCCAGCCAUGCCGCGUGUGUGAUGAAGGCCUCGG